CGGCCGUGAUCGACCCGGACGAUCCGGUGUUCCUGGCACCGGGCGACAUGCCGGCGCGGAUCGACGCCGCGCUGGCCCG
RNAcentral lists this transfer RNA (79 nucleotides) under Streptomyces sp. ADI93-02. RNAcentral describes it as "tRNA-Arg". The record is from RNAcentral. Lineage: Bacteria; Bacillati; Actinomycetota; Actinomycetes; Kitasatosporales; Streptomycetaceae.